This 810-nucleotide long non-coding RNA is filed under the name Citrus x clementina. RNAcentral's name for it is "Citrus clementina (C. clementina) long non-coding RNA (CCLE_LNC001957)". Lineage: Eukaryota; Viridiplantae; Streptophyta; Magnoliopsida; Sapindales; Rutaceae. The record is from RNAcentral.
AUUUGAUAAAUUAUCCUUUUUUAAUUUAAUAUCCCUAAUAAUAUUGUUGCAAGGUUAUUAUUGUGUAAAAAAAAAAGAAAAAAGAAAAAGUAAGGCUAGGAUUUUAACAUGUUUAACAAUAAGGGCGGCUUGGGUUGAGCUAUGUUGCAACGGUUGUCACGUACCCUAAUUUUUAUCUUUUAUGAUUUAACUAAUGUUAAAUUUCAUCGAGCUCCUCAUACUCCUUUUUACUCAUAAAAUACUAAGAAAUAAUAUGGUAUUUUCUACUUAAAUACACUAUUAAAAUUCUAUUUAGCACAUUAUUCUCUUUUUAUUUAUUAUUUUUAUAAGUAUUAAAGUACUUAUUUGGAUUAAAUCCAAGACAUCUUAAUCCACGUAAAACACUAAGAUCAACAAAAAGACAACAAUACCCUUAAAUUUAUAAAUUAAAAAUAAAAUUUAAGAUUUUUUUCCUCUUUCCUCUCACCUUCAUCUCCAUCAUCAUUACUUCUCACAUUCAUCUUCUUCCAUUGUCAUGAUCUUCACCUUCAUCUUCACAUAUUUUAAACUUACGGAAUAUUAAUAGAAAUGACAUUUUUGCCUCUAAAUGUUCUAAAAAUUUCAUGGCAAUCACUUCAAAUCUAAACUCAAAUCGGCCACUCCUAUCAAAGCGAAUUGUAAAUUGUUUCGAUGCCAUCUUCUUCGUUACAAUUAAGGGAGGGCAUGGGUUGGUUUGGGUUGGAUUUUAAGUCAACCCAAACCAAACCAUAAAAAUUUGGAUCCAACCCAAAUAUUUUUAACCUAAUCCAAACCAUUUGGGUUUGGUUUGAA